This 273-nucleotide ribosomal RNA is filed under the name uncultured Eubacteriales bacterium. Its description in RNAcentral is "uncultured Clostridiales bacterium partial 16S ribosomal RNA". It matches the Rfam family "Bacterial small subunit ribosomal RNA", at positions 75 to 339 of the family's 1533-position model. The record is from RNAcentral. Lineage: Bacteria; Bacillati; Bacillota; Clostridia; Eubacteriales.
AUUUUUCGGAAUGAAGUUUUUUAUGACUGAGUGGCGGACGGGUGAGUAACGCGUGAGCAAUCUACCAUGGACAAAGGGAUAGCCUCGGGAAACUGGGAUUAAUACCUUAUGAUUCUUCUUUUAGGCAUCUUUAAGAAGACAAAGAAUUUCGGUCCAUGAUGAGCUCGCGUCUGAUUAGCUAGUUGGUGAGAUAAAAGCUCACCAAGGCGAUGAUCAGUAACCGGCCUGAGAGGGUGAACGGUCACACUGGAACUGAGACACGGUCCAGACUCC